Long non-coding RNA from Ictalurus furcatus (blue catfish), 563 nucleotides. RefSeq lists it as uncharacterized. NCBI's taxonomy places the organism in Eukaryota, Metazoa, Chordata, Actinopteri, Siluriformes, Ictaluridae. The record is from RefSeq and is a predicted model, not a curated record. The transcript has 3 exons.
UAUCCUUUGCUGACAUUGACUGAAUCGAUGCACAGUAACAUGCACUAGCACAUAUAGUAGGUGCUGACACACACACACACACACAAACAUACAGAGAGGGCGAGAGGGGGAGAGAGAGAGAUGUCCAUACACAUACUGAUUGAGCCGUUGUGACAUGGACAGCGCAACAGACUGUCACUUCAACUUCACCUGUAAGCAGGACAUUGGCCACGAUGAAAUACACACCACGGAUCUUUCAACACACUGCCCUGGGAGAACAUCACACUCUCAUAUGGAGCUGAGAUGGCAGUAAGUGGAAGUGGAAGUGAUUCUCCUGGAGUGUCUGUGCUUUCUCACUGGAAGAGACAACAUGGAAGUGCCAGACUCUGCCCUUCCAGCACCUUCAAGAUUUAAUUUAACACCAGCGUUAUUUUCCUUUUCCUUCAUUUUAACAACAAAUCACAAAUAAAGUCUCUGUAUAUGUACGACAACUAGUAAAUGUCAUUGGUAACACCUUGUGUUUUGUUUCUAGUCUUCCUCAGAUUGUGUGGUAGAAGUCCUGCCUUCUGUGAUUCACCUUUCAG